CUGUGAAAUUAUGUGUGGCAAACCUGGUUGGCUCAUGAUGUUAUUUAAAUUUUUAUGAAACAUAUUAUAUGUUAGAUGGUAAUCCUGUCUCUAUUAUAAUACUAUUUGUAGAGACUUUUUGGCGGCAUAUAUUCUUCUUCGUGAUUUCUCAUUGCAUGCAGCAUUACAAGCGUGACUAUAAAUAAUGGAAUUUAUAUAUGAAUAAAAUGCAAAAUUAAAAUACAAAAUAUAAAAGUUAUUAUUAUAUUUAUUAUAUUUAUUUGUUAUAUUCAAAAGUAUUUCUUAUGUAUAUAUACUCGAUUUUCAUUAUUUUUGCUAAAGACUGCAAAACAGGAAGAAUGGCUUUGCAAGAUUAUUUUAGCAGGUAAAAAAAAAAGAAAUAUGAAAAGUGGCCAAGCAGCACAUAAAAUUAAAAAAUAAAAAUACAAAUAUAAAAUGCAAUUUUUAAAAUUUUUUUAUGCAAAUAAAGAACAAUGAAGAAUCUAACUACUAUACAUAUCCAAUGAUAUCCAAUGAUAUCCAAUAAUAUAUUGGAUAUCAAUAUAAUCGAAGACAAUAAUAAUUUAAUAUAAAAAUUGUUUUUUCUUAAAAUGAAAAAUAUUUUAGAAACAUUCCAAAGAAAUAUUAAAAAAGAAAAAAAAAAGCACUAAUAAUAAUGAAUUAUGUCUGAAGAAACAAGAAUAACAACAACAAAAUUUUUUUUAAAAGCAUCGCAAUAUUAAUUAAAAAAUUAUUGCCCUACAAAUUAUAGCUAAAAUAGGAAGAAUUCAAAAUGAUAAAUGAAAAAUCAGAAUUAAAUGUUAAUCCAAUAUUUUAAUACUUAAAAUAAUCGACUGUUUGCGUUGCCAUGUGAGAGAUUAUGAGAUCAUUUGAAAAAUAAAAUUAGACUAUUUCCAUACCAUAUCCAAGUUGUAAUUGUCAAGAAAACGAUGAAACUUCUUAUAUUCUCAAAGUUUUUUUUUUAAAUACAUAUAAUAAUAUAGAUGAAAUAUUAUUCAAAAAUAUCUUGUUCAAUGACAUUUUUUAAAAUUCAGAAAGCAAACAAUGGAUAAUUUUCAUUGUGAACUACUAUAAUAAUGUUCUGAAAUAGUGGGACAAUCAUCAUUUUAUGUAUUUUCAAUCGAUUCUUAAGUGAUCAUAUUGAAGAUAAUUAUGAAUAAACGCAAAUAAAAUUGAAUAAAAAAUAAUAUAUAACAAAAAUAAAAACAAAAAUAAUAUAUAACGAAAUUAUUUUUAUUUUCAUACAAACUAACGAAAGAGAAAUUAUAUUUUAAUCUCUUCGCUUUGAAGAGUUAAACGUCAAUUGAAUAUAGUAUGUUAUGAAAUAAAAGAAAAUUACUAAAUUAAAUGUUUAAAAUAAUGAUCUUGAACAUAAUGAUACAUAAUCUCUGAAGAGAUAUCAUGACAUAAAAUUAAAUUUCAUUCGGAUUAAUUACAGAGCAACCUUUUUUUAUAUAUUCUUUCAUUUCUUGUUAGUAAUUCACUCUAUAUUUCCUUUAAUUUUCUUUAAAUAAAAAUUCAAAGAUAUUAAACCUAGCGAACAUAUAAGCCAUUCAUAAUUUUCUAUCCGAUCCAAUAAUUCUCAAAAAUCUUAAGAGUCUCUAUGAAUUUUUCCAAAUGAAAAAUUUCAUCUAAUGAAUAUCUGUUUUAUCAGAAUUAAAUAGAUCGUUGUAUGUGAAAGAAUAUCUUAUAACUAUGACAAAAUUUCUGUUAAAAAUUUAUUCGUAUUUCUGAUUGUUUAAUAUGUUAAUCAAUAAAUUAAUUAUUUUAUUAUCAAAAAAUCUGCAUCACAUAUUUAUAUAUCAUAGUUCUUAUUCGACUUUCUUAGCUAUUUGGAUUUUCUUUAAUUUAUAUUAUGAUGAUUAAUUUAAAUAAUAUUUAUAAAUAUCGUUUCAUUGGUCGAAAACAUAUCAUCAUUUCAUCACGAUUUCAGAAAUCAUAUAGCCAUUGAUAAAACGAAAUUUAUUUAAGUUUUUUUUAAUAAAAUAUUUGUAAAAUAUUUCGUUAAUGCAGAUUUUGAUAAUUACAAUUGUUAAAAUGUUCAUUCAAAUGUUUCUAUAAUUAGUUUCUAUCAUAAUUAUUUUAGAUUUUUAUUAUACUUCUAAUUUCUUCAAAAUUCUUUAUAAUGUUUAUAAUGUUGUAAUUAUGUAAAAUGUUGUAUAUCUCAUAAUUUCGUGACUUUUAUUUAAAUAUCUAUUUUUUUUUUAUUUUUGAAUAACAAUUUUUUUCAUAUUUUUAAGAAUAUUUAAAUACAUUAAUUUAUCCAUAAUCUCUUUAAUAAUAUGUAAAAUUAAAUCAUAAUGGCAGCAUCACCAUGUUUAAAUAU
Molecule: long non-coding RNA, 2326 nt
Organism: Apis cerana (Asiatic honeybee)
Lineage: Eukaryota; Metazoa; Arthropoda; Insecta; Hymenoptera; Apidae
Source: RefSeq, a predicted model, not a curated record